AUACUUACCUGGCAGGGGAGAUACCAUGAUCAAGAAGGUGGUUCACCUUGGUGAGGCCUGACCAUUGCACUCCGGUUGGGUUGACCUCAACGAAUUCCCAAAUGUGGGAAUCUCGACUGCAUAAAUUUGUGGUAGUGGGGGGGUUCGCGCUGACCCCUG
Morone saxatilis (striped sea-bass) is the source of this 159-nucleotide small nuclear RNA. RefSeq annotates it as U1 spliceosomal RNA. The record is from RefSeq and is a predicted model, not a curated record. Lineage: Eukaryota; Metazoa; Chordata; Actinopteri; Moronidae. The transcript has a single exon.